Molecule: transfer RNA, 73 nt
Filed under: Exophiala xenobiotica
Lineage: Eukaryota; Fungi; Ascomycota; Eurotiomycetes; Chaetothyriales; Herpotrichiellaceae
Description: tRNA-Sup (TCA) (tRNA-Sup-TCA-1-1)
Rfam family: tRNA
About the family: Transfer RNA (tRNA) molecules are approximately 80 nucleotides in length.
Source: RNAcentral
GGUGGCAUGGUGCAAUGGUAGCAUAUCCUCAUCUCAGAUGAAGAAGAUUCUGGUUCAAAUCCAGAUGCCGCCA